RNAcentral lists this ribosomal RNA (508 nucleotides) under uncultured fungus. RNAcentral describes it as "SSU rRNA". It matches the Rfam family "Eukaryotic small subunit ribosomal RNA", at positions 569 to 1078 of the family's 1831-position model. The record is from RNAcentral. Lineage: Eukaryota; Fungi.
AGCAGCCGCGGUAAUUCCAGCUCCAAUAGCGUAUAUUAAAGUUGUUGCAGUUAAAAAGCUCGUAGUUGAAUUUCGGGAUCAAUUUAUCGGUCGUGCCUAUGGUAUGAACUGGUGCAAUUGGUUUCUCCCUUCUGACGAAGCAUGAUGUCAUUAAUUUGGUGUCGUGGGGAAUCAGGACUGUUACUUUGAAAAAAUUAGAGUGUUUAAAGCAAGCAUUAGCUUGAAUACAUUAGCAUGGAACAAUGAAAUAGGACGUUUGAUCCUAUUUCGUUGGUUUCUAGGAUCGACGUAAUGAUUAAUAGGGAUAGUUGGGGGCAUUAGUAUUCAAUUGUCAGAGGUGAAAUUCUUGGAUUUAUUGAAGACUAACUACUGCGAAAGCAUUUGCCAAGGAUGUUUUCAUUAAUCAAGAACGAAAGUUAGGGGAUCGAAGACGAUCAGAUACCGUCGUAGUCUUAACCAUAAACUAUGCCGACUAGGGAUCGGAUGAUGUUAAUUUUUUAAUGACUCA